UAUUUUAUUUAGUGAGGAGAACUCAGUAAAUUUGUCAGCAAAGUUGGCUGAUGCUAGCUUCAUUUCUUCCACCUCCAAAAAUUUUUGUCAAGUUUCCGCAGAACAAUGCAAAGUCACCAAAAAAGAUUUUUAAAAAACCCCUCGUAUUCCAUGUCAGUACGGCCUAAAAGUAUAUUUUGAGCUUCCUCCUGUUCUCUGUAAUAAAAUUACCGCAUUGUAAAACAUGUUCAUUCAUAGAAUCAAUUGGCUUCAACAAUCUUAAGCGUCUCUCAGUUGCCUAAGUUUCCACAAAUUACAUUUUGCACGUAAAACUUCAAGAGCUUCUUUAAUGAACCACCAUCAUAAUUGGCAUUUUCUUUCCACAAAUAUUGUGUAUGGUCAUGCUCUAAAUUCCAUCCCGUUAAGAGCUGGAUGAUUCAGCAUUUCCAGAAGAGCUUCUGAGAGUGAGGCUGGCAGUCAAAUGUAGGAAUCAAAGACAGCGUGUGUACCUUAAAGAAAACCCACUUCAACUCCUAUUUAAUAUUACUGAGAGCCAUCACAUUUCUCUUUGACAAGAUUGUUUGCCUAAAGGUUUCUUGAGAGAGAAAGCCAUGGGAUUAAUUUACUUCUGCCAUCAUGAUUGACUGCACAGCAGCUGUCAGGCAACUGAAGUGUCUCCAAUCUCCAUCGCAAAUUACUCUAAGUGGUUUUUAAAAUAAACUUGCCAAGCCUGUUAAUGCCUAGCAGCUCCGACAGGGAAAUGCACAAUUGACUUAAAUCAAAAACAAGUGGAUCCGUUUGGGGUCUUCCUAAUGAAACUGCCUUGGUGCCUUUUUUUGUUGAUGCUCAAGAAACCACAGAUAAAUCACGUAAUCUUGAAAAUAAGGAAACUGUUAUAUGCACACUUCUAUGUAGUUCAUGAUUUAGCAGCAUAAAGCUGAACUUGUCUAAAGCAACAGACUGCAAAGGAAGGCUACCAUAGGUAAAUGUUAAUCAAAAAUUUAGUCCCGUAAUGUUGUAAAUUCGUUUCCUUCAAUUGUUCUUAAUGCAGAUAAAUCCCAAGGAAGAGUAAUGUCUUUCUCUGCUCCACUUUUUCAGAGGCGCUCACUUGGUUUAAGAUGAAAAAGUUACGGUGACUGCCCUCCAGAGCGACAACCUAGAAAAAGGAGAGACGUGGUGGGAGAGCGAGAAGACGGCGGGUGCAGCGCCAGGAGGCUGUGGCACCAAGUAGCGCGACCUCGAAAUCAGAGUGCAGGACCCAGAACAGAGCGGCGGGUGCGGGACCGCAAAGCUUCGGUCACAGAAGAGACCUGUAUAUGUUUGUAGGUAAUUGGGAAGGACUCGGCAGAGGAGUAGGAUCUCAAAGUAGAGACACAGCUGAGGAGGAGGCGUGCACUCCUGAGAGAGGAAAAGACCGCUGUUAAACAGAAACAUGUUUGGUUUCAUCUGGGGACAUUGAUGUGAGCAUAAUACAUUCCACCCCUAUGCAGCGACAGGAAUGAAGAUAGAAAUGGAACGCAAGGCAUCCUGGUCCUUGCUCAUUAUGAUUCCGUAAAGUCCUGCCAUUUAGGAAAUGUGUCUCAAUUUCUGCGGAGAUGAAGCAGGAAGGUCAGACUGAGCUUUAAUCAAAGGUAUCUCCCUGCCGAGACUUUGGGCUUCACCACCAUGUGACUUGCUUUGAUCAAUGGAAUGUGAGUGGAUGUGAUAGUAUUCCAGUUCCUAAACGAGACUUUAUGAUGUGAUGUGUGUUACCAACUGCUUUCUUGCACUCCUGCUCUGCACCAAGAGAAUAUCCCAAGUAGGUGGCACUCUUUCGACUUUGGCCCUGGAAUGAAAAGACACAUGGAGCAGACCUGAACCUACCUGCAGCCUCGAUUAGAACUGUAGCAGCAAUGUGUGAUGAAAAGGAAGGAGAAAUAAAUGCUGGUUUUUGUAAGUCACUGAGAUUCUUGAGGUUAUUUGUUACACAGCAAAACCUAAUGAAAGCAGACUAAGAUGCUAAGUAAACAGAUCAGAGGCAAUGGACAACAUGCUUCUUCCAAAUGUAACAUAAACUGUCUUCAUAAUCCAAAGAGGACCACCAUGCCGUGUGUUGUGCCUUCUUCUCCAUGGUAAGGGACAGCAGAUAUAGAAUUGUCCUUUAGUUUGGAAAUAAUAUCCCAACAUAGUAUAAACCAUUCAUUUCACAGAAAUGUCAUAAUAUCCAACUGCAGAAUUUUUGUAGAAGUUAUCUCCUACUCCUUGAACCAAAACGUCUGAGAUAUCUCUCAUUUCCUUUAUCCCAGGCCCAUCACCUUGACAUCAUCAAUCUAAUAAACCCAGACAGUGCCUACU
Long non-coding RNA from Equus caballus (horse), 2313 nucleotides. The record is from Ensembl. Lineage: Eukaryota; Metazoa; Chordata; Mammalia; Perissodactyla; Equidae.